RNAcentral lists this ribosomal RNA (92 nucleotides) under uncultured bacterium. RNAcentral describes it as "partial 16S ribosomal RNA". It matches the Rfam family "Bacterial small subunit ribosomal RNA", at positions 404 to 508 of the family's 1533-position model. The record is from RNAcentral.
AGGGAUGAAGGCCUUCGGGUUGUAAACCUCUUUCAGCAGGGAAGAAGCGAGAGUGACGGUACCUGCAGAAGAAGCACCGGCUAACUACGUGC